GGCGUGGCUCAACGGUAGAGCAGCUGAUUUGUAAUCAGCAGGUUGGGGGUUCGAUUCCCUUCGCC
RNAcentral lists this transfer RNA (65 nucleotides) under uncultured Eubacterium sp. It matches the Rfam family "tRNA". Rfam says of the family: Transfer RNA (tRNA) molecules are approximately 80 nucleotides in length. Their secondary structure includes four short double-helical elements and three loops (D, anti-codon, and T loops). Lineage: Bacteria; Bacillati; Bacillota; Clostridia; Eubacteriales; Eubacteriaceae. The record is from RNAcentral.